GAUGAAAACGCAGCGAAAUGCGAUAAGUAGUGUGAAUUGCAGAAUUCAGUGAAUCAUCGAAUCUUUGAACGCACAUUGCGCCCUUUGGUAUUCCUUAGGGCAUGCCUGUUCGAGCGUCAUUUAAACCUUCAAGCUCAGCUUGGUGAUGGGUGACUGUCCUCCCCUCGCGGGGGGACUCGCCUCAAAAACAUUGGCGGCCGGUACAUUGGCUUCGAGCGCAGCAGAAACGCGGUCUCGAGCCCGGUGGAUCGGCUCCCAUAAGUCUAUUCUUUUAUUUUGACCUCGGAUCAGGUAGGGAUACCCGCUGAACUUAAGCAUAUCAAUAAGCGGAGGA
RNAcentral lists this unclassified non-coding RNA (334 nucleotides) under soil metagenome. Its description in RNAcentral is "partial contains 5.8S ribosomal RNA, internal transcribed spacer 2, and large subunit ribosomal RNA". The stretch from base 1 to 119 matches the Rfam family "5.8S ribosomal RNA", at positions 35 to 154 of the family's 154-position model. The record is from RNAcentral.